GUUUAUUACCCCGCCCCCUUGUUUGAUGGACAGCCUAUGAAAAAGAGUAAACACUGCGUGAUGUAGUUGUGUGUUGCAUCGUGAUCGUGUUUGAGGAGGAGGGAGAGGAAAAAAAAGGAGCACUGCGGUACUGCUGCUCUGCUUUCCAUCGACAGAGCGAUGACAUCAUACUGAUCCACAGCAGUUAUCCGAGGACACGACAUCUCUCUCUCUCUCUCUCUCUCUCUCUCUCUCUCUCUCUCUCUCAUGACAGCUAGAGAGCACUCAUAUUCAUUCCUAUAGGUGACUCCAUAGAAUCCUGUCAUGGUGGUGCUUUUUCCCCAAACAAAUUCUACAGAGUUAAUGUGGACUAAUUACUCUGACUGAGAACUGAAUCAACUGGUUUUUGAUUCAACUGAAAAUUAUUUGAUUCAUGACUUGUUGGUUUUCAACACAACGGAAGCCAAGUUCAGUUCAAUCCGAAUCUCUAAAAAGCGAUUCAGUUCCAUGGUCCAGGAUUCCAGAUGAAAGCAAGUUGUCUAUAUUUAUUAUGAUUCGGUUUAAUUCAAAACUGAUUCAGCUGUCAUUUGAUUCAGCGAAUUUUGUACAUUUUUGAAUUUUUAAAAAUUAUGAUGAAUGAAGGUUUUAUAAAUUUAGAAUGAUUCAACGCAGUCAUUUUUUUUUUUUUAUUCAACUGAAAACAAGUUUUCCAAAUUUAGAAUGAUUCAGUUCAAUAAAGUGACUCGGUUUGUUUGUUUUAUUUAUUUUUUAAUUUGACUGAAAUCGAGUUUUUGAAAUGAUUUGAAUGAUUGGAUUCAAUUUGGUGAAGAAAAAAAAAACAGUAAAAUAAAAAUGACCAGCAUGAAAGCUGAGGAAAAACUAGCCAGGGUUAAUGACGAGCAUGAACGUUAGUGAAACUAUCCAGGAUUAAUAACGGACAUUCUGUCAGCACAUGGAGAGACAUGAUGUACCUUAUGUUACUGUGAACCACAGAACUGGCUACAUGUCGACACACACUCUUACACACUAUGUGAGGUUUUCGACACACUUGUUCAGGCCUUGUGAAGCUCUCUGAACAAAUCUGCACUCCGAUUACAUCACUGCAAACUUUGCAUGCCGAUUUGACUAGCAAUGUGAGCAUAUUUAUCUGAUGUGAGAGAGCACUGUGUUAAAGGGAGAAGUUAAUCAGGGAUCAGAUAUAGAACUUUAACCCAAAUGUAGCCGAUCGGCCACAACUAAAGGAGCAAACUUGAAUGCUGAGUAAAACUAGCUAGCAUGAAUGACUAGCAUGACUGCUGAGUAUGACACUAGCAUGACUGCUGAGUAAAACUAGCUAGCAUGAAUGACUAGCAUGAAUGCUGAGUAAAAUUGACCACCAUGAACUGGCUAGCAUGAAUGCUUAGUAAAACAGGUUAGCAUCAAUGACUAGCAUGAAUAUUAAGUAAAACAUUUCUGCUGAUCUGACUGAUGUUUAAAAAAAACAAAAAACAUUUUAAAUACAUUUUUUAUUUAUUACUUUUUUCACCAAUGGUCACAUUUAGCAAUACUCAUGAUUAAACCGGUAGCUAACUAUUUUAGCCGAGAAACUAAGCUGAGAAACUAACCAGCUAGCAAGGAUGACGUGAUAAAAUAAAUUCUGAGUCACUGCAAAGGUUCAUGCGUCUCCCAUUACACCCUUUACAGCUAUAGAUGUAAUUAUUUUUUAAAUAAAUAUUGCAUUAUCACAAGCUAUGGUACGAGAUUGGAUAAAAGAUUCCGUGGCCUGAAAAUUGAAUAUGUAUGAAAUAUAUAAUCUGAGUAACAGUAGGACAUGAAGUCAUUUUAUUUUUCCACAAGCUCAUAAACACAGUGUGGGUUUAAAAAGAAAUGUUGUGUUUGGGUUUUGUUUUUUUUUUCCACCAGAUAAAAGACUAUGACACAGAAACAAACCUAUGAUCUGACAUGGUCAUUAUUUUCACUGCUAAGUGAGCUGUUCAGGUGAUUAAAGUCAUGAGAGCACUGUUGCUGGGCAACUGAGAAAUAUGGAUACAAAGCAUAAUCUGGCUUGUCAUUUAGCUAGCUAGCAUAGACUGUUAUUCAAUCUUCUUUUAAAUCAAAUAUAGCCAACGUAUAAACACAGCGACAGCAAAAAUAACACAGUACAGUCGGAAAUAUCAACGUUUACCUCAGAUGUGGUGUUAGAUUGCUUAGAAAAGACUCGAGUUACACUUUAAUUACACUUAGCGUCGACUGCUAACCAUACUGAGAACAGUUAGCAUGGAUUUAAAUAGCAGUGCAGUGUGCUGGAUCUAAACAAGGCAAACGAGCACCUCAGUGAUCUCAAUCAUCUCGUCUGAGUAUUUUUACACCACUAUUUACACACACACACACACACACACACACACACCAAUUAUGGUCCACACUGUUUAUUUAUGUUUAAGUGAGUGUAUGUUUUAAGUGUGAGGCGUCUUUAGAGUUAGCAAUCUGAGACUGAGUUCACAGCUGAAAGGGUUAAGGACUGAACCCUUUUUGUCGAAAUAUACUGUUUAUUUAGAUUUUUGUUUGAUUUAUUUAUUUAUUUUAAAUAAUACCUUUUAUUUUCUAUUUAGCUAGCUCAGUCAUCAGUAGUUAGCUGACUAUCAUGCAUGCAAUAAUAACCUGCAGUAAUUGCUUUUUGUGUGUGUGUUUUUGGUUCAGUUUAAUUGACGUACUAAUGGAAAAAUCUCGUGUGUGUGUAUGUGUGUGUGUGAGAGAGAGAGAGAGAGAGAGAGAGAAUGCAGAGGUGCUUGUGGUUGUUCAACAUUGACUUUAGAAGCCUUAUCACACUCCACCACACAUGUCUAUAGGUUCUGCACCUACACUAUGCAUUUUGUAUAUGCUUACGGUAAGGUGUGUGUGUGUGUGUGUGUGUGUGUGUGUGUGUGUGUGUUAGAUAGACACACACGUUGUUUAAAUUUAUUUCGACUGCCUGUAGUGAGCAGUUUUAUUGUGUAGGAGUUGCCUGUAAUUUUGUGCUACAGCGCUAGUUCGGCAUGUGGCUGAGUGCAAUCACACACACACACACGCACACACGGCUCACAGAGCAUUGCAUAAUGUAUUCUAUAAUAAAAUCAGCACAAACACACACCGAUCAUUAACUUUUAUUUUUCAGUUUGCAUUUUACCUGGACUCUCAAAAAACCACACACACAUAAUGAUUGAAGAACAGUAGCAAAACAAAAUGUUCUGGUGUGAUUUGUAAACUUACUCCUGAGCCAAAGGAACAGUAUGGCCUGUUGUGCUUGGCGCUGGGUUUACUUACGCGCACACACACACACACACACACACACACACACACGUACGUCCAGAGGUUAAGAGCGAGGAGGAGCUCCUCAGGAUGGAUUUAGGAGGAAAAACAUUGGCAAUAACAGACACUCCUUUGGCCAACAGCAGCAGUUAUUUUUACAUCACAUAGUCAGAGGUUCAUGGUUUCUAUUGAAUAUAUGGAGAACUCAGGUGAACACACACACACACACACCAUCUUUUAAACCCUUAUGCACAUAUUUGUUGCACAUUAUGAUCGUGACUGUAGGUUAUCACCACAGUGAAAUUUUUAUACAAUACGGUUGUGUGUUAGUUUUUCAGUUAAAACUGAAGUCUCUUGUGCCAGGAGUGUGGAGUGUGGAGUGUGUGUGUGUGUGUGUGUGUGUGUGUGUGUGUGUGUGUGUGUGUGUGUUAAACAGAUGGUUGCUACGCACCAUUACCGUGACCCAUCCGGUGAGAAUUUGGGGUUCCACUCUGACUCGGUUUGUCAGUACUGAGUGACACUGAAGUAAAAUUAAUAAAAAUUCAAUUAUGAGCUCAUCCACAACCAAUUACUGACCUCAUGCCCAAUCAAACAUACUGAACUAUCAGACCCUGGUCAUAGUACAAUGGGUGACGCCUACGAGGACGGCCUUGUAGACCUCAUGACAAGAACAGGAACUUGUAGACCUCCGGAGAGGAGAAGUAACUUGUAGACCUCAUGACAAGAACAGGAACUUGUAGACCUCCGGAGAGGAGAAGUAACUUGUAGACCUCAAGAGAAAGAGGAGAAUUAACUUGUAGACCUCAAGAGAAAGAGGAGAAUUAACUUGUAGACCUCAAGAGAAAGAGGAGAAGUAACUUGAGCAGGAUCUUAGCAACUUGAGGGCGGGAGCAAAAGCUUUUAGACCUCAAAACAGGAGCAGGAACAUGGCAAAUUCCGGAGCAGAACUUUGAAACAUCAUGUGAAACAGCUUUGAGACUUCAGGACAGGAGCUUUGAAACACCAGGAGUAGGAACUUGUAAACUUGAGGACAGGAGCAGGACCUUAUAGACAUCAACACUGGAGCAGGAGUUUAGCAACAGGAGCAGGAGCUUGAAAUUUCAGGACCAAAUCAGGAGCUUUGAGACUCCGGGACAUGAGCAAGAGCUUGUAGAUCUAGAAACUUAAGUGUGCAGGAGCUCUCUAGGAGGAACUCACCCAUACAGUUGUUGUUGUUGUUGUUGUUUGCUUUUUUGCUUUUUUGCUUCUUUUUUAUUAAGAAAAGCAUAGAGGUGUAGCAAAGGAACAACAAAGGAAGAAAGACAAUGAGGGUAAAGGUGAAAGGAGAUAAGAAAGGAUAAGGGGAUAUUUCUUUUCAGUCAACAUGAUGGACACUGCAAUGAAGUAACCCAUGCAGCAUGUAUUAUAGAGUUUGUGCAUGUUUUCUGUGUGUGUGUGAGAGAGUGAGAGAGGGAGGGAGAGAGCGUGAGAGUGUGUCAGCAUGAGAUUCCCUUCAGCUCGAUGCAAAUGAGCUUUUGUUGUGCGUCUCUUGCCUGGUUAAUCUGUCAGGAUUUGUUUGGUGAACACAGCAUGGAGGAGAGAGAGAGUGGGCGAGAGACACAGACAGAGACACACACACACACACACAGAGAGAGAGAGAGAGAGAGAACACGAACUGUUGUGCUUUUGUGUAUUGUGCGUCUCACCCAGAAAUUGUUACCUUUCACCCAGAUGAGUGGGACAUGGAGGAGGAGGAAGAGGUACACUCGUUCCCCUCUCUCUCUCUCUCUCUCUCUCUCUCUCUCUCUCUCUCUCUCUCUCUCUCUCUCUCUCUCUUUGUGUGUGUGUGUUUCUCACGUGAAUUCAUUAUUCCUGCCCCUACUGUUUUUCUCUGUUCUCCUUCUUCACCUCAGUACACAGCUCCUCCUCUAUAUUUCUUUCUCUGUGGGAGGAGUUCCCUGUAAGAAUGUGCAGGACUGUCUUGUCACACACACACACACACACACACACACCCUCUUGCACAAAGCGCCCACACAGUUCACAGUGACAGCAAAAGCAUACAAAAGAAAGUACAGUGCGCACACACACACACACACACACACACACACACUCUCUCUCUCUCUCUCUCUCUCUCUCUCUCUCUCUCUCUCUCUCUCUCUCUCUCUCUCUCUCACACACACACACACACACACACACACACACACACCAC
Ictalurus punctatus (channel catfish) is the source of this 5431-nucleotide long non-coding RNA. The record is from Ensembl. Lineage: Eukaryota; Metazoa; Chordata; Actinopteri; Siluriformes; Ictaluridae.